Molecule: long non-coding RNA, 355 nt
Organism: Cephus cinctus (wheat stem sawfly)
Lineage: Eukaryota; Metazoa; Arthropoda; Insecta; Hymenoptera; Cephidae
Exons: 3
Source: RefSeq, a predicted model, not a curated record
GUGUACGUACACGUGACACGCGGUCGACAUUUUCCGGUUUGUCACUCGCAGUGGGUAUUCCUAGAGACCGGAUCUGUACAACUUUACUGACUUCUUCCACGUCUCCGCUGCACGGCUAAACUACUAGUUAUUGGAGUCGUGGCCUUCGGACGACCUCCGUCUCUAUGUACAAUGGAGGAAUCACCCGGAGGCAAAUAUAUAAAUAUACCGUUCAAGAUGAAACGCCGUAGCAAUAUAUGCACACGUAGAAACACGAGGAUUCCGUUUCGAGCACAAACGGAGAAUCGUGAUUCGGCGGUGCGUAAAAUGCUUCAACAGCUGCAACGAGCCGGUCGCUAGGAGGCGCUGGAGGUGG